AACGAGAAAAGCCAAACCUAUCGCGAGGUAGGGACGGAAAGCUGCAGGUCUCAUUCCAUUGAGAUGGCUGAGCCGCCUCA
Molecule: non-coding RNA, 80 nt
Filed under: Vibrio sp.
Lineage: Bacteria; Pseudomonadati; Pseudomonadota; Gammaproteobacteria; Vibrionales; Vibrionaceae
Description: c-di-GMP sequence
Rfam family: c-di-GMP-I riboswitch aptamer
About the family: GEMM was predicted in a large-scale screen for bacterial structured RNA regulatory elements. Genes associated with GEMM are involved in a diverse array of functions, including chemotaxis regulation, signal transduction, secretion and chitin.
Source: RNAcentral